Molecule: ribosomal RNA, 473 nt
Filed under: uncultured bacterium
Lineage: Bacteria
Description: bacterial SSU rRNA
Rfam family: Bacterial small subunit ribosomal RNA
Source: RNAcentral
UGGGGAAUAUUGGACAAUGGGGGCAACCCUGAUCCAGCAAUGCCGCGUGUGUGAAGAAGGCCUGCGGGUUGUAAAGCACUUUUGGCAGGGAUGAAAAGCACUGGAUUAAUAACCCCAGUGUGUUGACCUAACCUGCAGAAGAAGCACCGGCUAACUCUGUGCCAGCAGCCGCGGUAAUACAGGGGGUGCGAGCGUUAAUCGGAAUUACUGGGCGUAAAGGGCGCGUAGGCGGUCGAGUAAGUCGGAUGUGAAAUCCCCGGGCUUAACCUGGGAAUUGCAUUCGAUACUGGCAAUCUAGAGUCCGGAAGAGGUUAGUGGAAUUCCCAGUGUAGAGGUGAAAUUCGUAGAUAUUGGGAAGAACACCAGUGGCGAAGGCGGCUAACUGGUCCGGUACUGACGCUGAGGUGCGAAAGCGUGGGGAGCAAACAGGAUUAGAUACCCCCGUAGUCCCUGAGCGGGCUGGCAAGGCGCAU